GACGAACGCUGGCGGCGUGCUUAACACAUGCAAGUCGAACGGAAAGGCCCUGCUUUUGUGGGGUGCUCGAGUGGCGAACGGGUGAGUAACACGUGAGUAACCUGCCCUUGACUUUGGGAUAACUUCAGGAAACUGGGGCUAAUACCGGAUAGGAGCUCCUGCUGCAGGGUGGGGGUUGGAAAGUUUCGGCGGUUGGGGAUGGACUCGCGGCUUAUCAGCUUGUUGGUGGGGUAGUGGCUUACCAAGGCUUUGACGGGUAGCCGGCCUGAGAGGGUGACCGGCCACAUUGGGCCUGAGCUACGGCCCAGACUCCUACGGGAGGCAGCAGUGGGGAAUAUUGCACAAUGGGCGGAAGCCUGAUGCAGCAACGCCGCGUGCGGGAUGACGGCCUUCGGGUUGUAAACCGCUUUCGCCUGUGACGAAGCGUGAGUGACGGUAAUGGGUAAAGAAGCACCGGCUAACUACGUG
Molecule: ribosomal RNA, 468 nt
Filed under: uncultured bacterium
Lineage: Bacteria
Description: partial 16S ribosomal RNA
Rfam family: Bacterial small subunit ribosomal RNA
Source: RNAcentral